CAAUAGCGUAUAUUAAAGUUGUUGCGGUUAAAAAGCUCGUAGUUGGAUUUCUGCCGAGGACGACCGGUCCGCCCUUUGGGUGAGUAUCUGGCUCGGCCUGGGCAUCUUCUUGGAGAACGUGUCUGCACUUGACUGUGUGGUGCGGUAUCCAGGACUUUUACUUUGAGGAAAUUAGAGUGUUUCAAGCAGGCACACGCCUUGAAUACAUUAGCAUGGAAUAAUACUAUAGGAUCUUGAUCCUAUUUUGUUGGUUUCUAGGAGCAAGAUAAUGAUUAAUAGGGACAAUUGGGGGCAUUCGUAUUAUCGCGUCAGAGGUGAAAUUCUUGGAUCGCGAUACGACGAACAACUGCGAAAGCAUUUGCCAAGGAUGUUUUCAUUGAUCAAGAACGAAAGUUAGGGGAUCGAAGACGAUCAGAUACCAU
This 422-nucleotide ribosomal RNA is filed under the name uncultured eukaryote. RNAcentral describes it as "bacterial SSU rRNA". It matches the Rfam family "Eukaryotic small subunit ribosomal RNA", at positions 592 to 1018 of the family's 1831-position model. The record is from RNAcentral.